RNAcentral lists this unclassified non-coding RNA (812 nucleotides) under Hevea brasiliensis (rubber tree). The record is from RNAcentral. Lineage: Eukaryota; Viridiplantae; Streptophyta; Magnoliopsida; Malpighiales; Euphorbiaceae.
GGGAAUCUUUAGUGCAGCUCGUGUAUGGUGGAUGUUUAGAGUUUUUGGACAUGACAGAGUUUGGGUUCUAGAUGGUGGCUUGCCAAGAUGGCGUGCUUCAGGUUAUGAUGUCGAGUCACCUGGUGAUGCCAUUCUGAAAGCUAGUGUUGCCACUGAGGCAAUUGAGAAAGUAUACCAAGGACAGAUGGUUGGACCUUCUACCUUCCAGACCAAGUUUCAGCCUCAUCUUGUCUGGAGUCUUGAUCAGGUUAAAAGGAACAUUCAAGACCAGACAUAUCAGCAUAUAGAUGCUCGAUCCAAAGCUAGGUUUGAUGGUGUUGCACCAGAGCCUCGAAAAGGAAUUAACAGUGGACAUGUACCCGGGAGCAAGUGUAUUCCUUUUCCACAGAUGUUGGAUGGCUCACAGACACUCUUAUCCCGUGAAGAGCUCGAGAAAAAAUUUGGUCAAGAAGGUAUCUCUUUGGACAAGCCUAUAGUUGCCUCUUGUGGCACAGGUGUAACUGCUUGCGUACUUGUCUUGGGCCUCCAUCGACUGGGGAAGACUGACAUUCCAGUCUAUGAUGGUUCAUGGACAGAAUGGGCAACACAGCCAGAUACACCUCUCUGCACAUCUGAAAGAUGAAGACGUUUGUAUGGCCUGCCUAGUUUUUAUGGGUGAGCAAUGAUGAUUGUGAAUCUAGAUCUGGUUCCUUUUCUUAAUGGUUAGUGCAACAACUUACAUUGUAUUGUUGAAUGAUAACAACGGAAAAAUUUCUUCUCUGUUGUACAAAAUGCCUUAAUUUUACCUUCAUUAUAUUUUUGGUUAGUGCAAC